ACUCCUACGGGAGGCAGCAGUGGGGAAUUUUGGACAAUGGGGGCAACCCUGAUCCAGCAAUGCCGCGUGUGCGAAGAAGGCCUUCGGGUUGUAAAGCACUUUUGUCAGGGAAGAAAUCCUUUGGGCUAAUACCCUAGGGGGAUGACGGUACCUGAAGAAUAAGCACCGGCUAACUACGUGCCAGCAGCCGCGGUAAU
Molecule: ribosomal RNA, 197 nt
Filed under: uncultured organism
Description: partial 16S ribosomal RNA
Rfam family: Bacterial small subunit ribosomal RNA
Source: RNAcentral